GUCAUCUUCUUCUUACCCUUGCAAAUAUUUCUCCAGAUGAACUAUGCUGGGUGCUCCUGCUGGUGCUGUUUAGUCGUGUAGCUUGUUAGCUCAUGGUCGCCAGUAGCUUCUUGACUUAGAUUAGAAGCUGCUGGUGCUGCUUAUUAGUCGUGUUCAGCCUCCGCUGUUGUAGAUCUCAGUUGAAAGUAGUUUUUACCCAUUCUUUCAAGGGCAUUGGUAAAUCGAGUAGCAAAAGUACGGUGGGAUUUACAAGUUGUGAUGCCCCAUCUGUGUGUCUGGUUAUCCUAGUAAAAGGUGUACCUACCAAAUUUACAGAUAUUUUCAUGUGAGCAUACGAGUUUGUAGUUUUGCUGUUUAUGUACCUGAGUAACUGGAGUUGGGAUAGUAGCCUCAUAACUAACAUUUCUUAUUUUGUUCUUCUUACAGUACCAGGAGAAGAUGAGCUUGUAGCGUGGGCUAUGGAUUAAAGCUUGAUACCAGCUUUCAUAGAUCCGGAUGGUUUUGAAGUGAUAGCUGGCUUGACUUUGCUUUUCUUCAAAGCAUCUUGGCAGACCAAAAUCCGUAAUUUUUGGCACCAUGUUUUCGUCUAGCAAUAUAUUUGCAGGUUUUAGGUCUAAGUGAAGGAUAUCGAUCUCUGUUAAUAUAUUGUAAACCUUCACAAAUUCCCUUGAUUAUUUCAUAGUGCGCUAUUUUAAAAGAAAUGAUUUGGCAUUGGACAAACCAAGUUGUCCAACAUGCAUAUUCAUGACUUGAAAAAGUAAAAAAAAAUACAGUCUGGAUAUUGUGUUUGACUUAGAAAGAUGGAAAAGCUAAACAAAAAGUUGUGAAGGCAGAUGAUAAAAGUGCUAUUGAAUGAUCAAGGAAUUUGUGAGGUUUACAUUAUCUUCGCAAGAGUUGUAUUGUUCACUUAGACCUAGACAUGCAAGUAUAUUUCUAGGCGAAAACAUAAUGUUAAAAAUUGCGGAUUUUUGUCUCUCAAGUUGCUUGGAGGAAAAUCAAAGCCAGGCUAUUGCUUCAAAACAGUUUGGAUCUAUGUAUGAAAGAAGGGACAUUGAUGAACUGGGUUGGAUUUACUUUGACUUGCAAACUUGUUUGCAUGUUAUCAUCAGAGCCUAGUGUACAUCUUUAGGUACUUCGCAAGAGAAAAAGGCUGCUUUGGCUGCAAGUGGAGUACUUGAUGCUGCAGAUGGUGGCUGGCGAUGCACUGCUCUGGCGUAGACUGCUACACAAGGAGCACCGGCGCUCCCCCAACGAAUACACCAGUUCCAAUCAGGCCCUGCCUUUCACCUGCCGACUCUCUAGGCACUUAGGUGUGAGGUAUGUCGGCCUGUGCAGUCCUGGAGCUGCAAUCUCCCCUGGAGGUGUCUGGCAAUGGCAGUGAUGCUGCCCUGUUGCUCUAAGUCUUGGCGCAUUGCCAUUUUUUGGCUGGAGGCAAGGCCCGGUGAGGCCUAAUGUCGUUGCUUGUCUGUAGUUGAGGGCACCUCCUCCACCUAGCUGUAGUCACUUGGUGAGGACGGUCGUGUGUGUGUGUGUGUGCGCGCGAGCGCGUGAGUGUCCCUCCUUUCUGGAGGUUGUACCCCUGAUGUCUUCCUGUUCAAUGCAAGUUCAAUGCAAUGAAACACAACUCUUUUGCAUUUUCUUGAAAAAAAAAGCUAGUACGUUUGGAGUAA
Triticum aestivum (bread wheat) is the source of this 1670-nucleotide long non-coding RNA. RefSeq lists it as uncharacterized. The record is from RefSeq and is a predicted model, not a curated record. Lineage: Eukaryota; Viridiplantae; Streptophyta; Magnoliopsida; Poales; Poaceae. The transcript has 2 exons.